This 492-nucleotide ribosomal RNA is filed under the name uncultured bacterium. RNAcentral describes it as "partial 16S ribosomal RNA". It matches the Rfam family "Bacterial small subunit ribosomal RNA", at positions 29 to 507 of the family's 1533-position model. The record is from RNAcentral.
AGUGAACGCUGGCGGUAGGCCUAACACAUGCAAGUCGAACGGCAGCACAGUAAGAGCUUGCUCUUACGGGUGGCGAGUGGCGGACGGGUGAGGAAUACAUCGGAAUCUACUUUUUCGUGGGGGAUAACGUAGGGAAACUUACGCUAAUACCGCAUACGACCUACGGGUGAAAGCAGGGGAUCUUCGGACCUUGCGCGAUUGAAUGAGCCGAUGUCGGAUUAGCUAGUUGGCGGGGUAAAGGCCCACCAAGGCGACGAUCCGUAGCUGGUCUGAGAGGAUGAUCAGCCACACAGGAACUGAGACACGGUCCAGACUCCUACGGGAGGCAGCAGUGGGGAAUAUUGGACAAUGGGCGCAAGCCUGAUCCAGCCAUACCGCGUGGGUGAAGAAGGCCUUCGGGUUGUAAAGCCCUUUUGUUGGGAAAGAAAAGCAGCAGGUUAAUACCCCGCUGUUCUGACGGUACCCAAAGAAUAAGCACCGGCUAACUUCGUA